This 218-nucleotide unclassified non-coding RNA is filed under the name soil metagenome. RNAcentral describes it as "partial contains 5.8S ribosomal RNA, internal transcribed spacer 2, and large subunit ribosomal RNA". The record is from RNAcentral.
AACCUUAUGGACCUGCGGGCGUAUACCUGCGGAGGGAUCAUUACAAGUGACCCCGGUCUAACCACCGGGAUGUUCAUAACCCUUUGUCGUCCGACUCUGUUGCCUCCGGGGCGACCCUGCCUUCGGGCGGGGGCUCCGGGUGGACACUUCAAACUCUUGCGUAACUUUGCAGUCUGAGUAAACUUAAUUAAUAAAUUAAAACUUUUAACAACGGAUCU